GAUGAACGCUGGCGGCGUGCCUAAUACAUGCAAGUCGAGCGAACAGACGAGGAGCUUGCUCCUCUGACGUUAGCGGCGGACGGGUGAGUAACACGUGGAUAACCUACCUAUAAGACUGGGAUAACUGCGGGAAACCGGAGCUAAUACCGGAUAAUAUAUUGAACCGCAUGGUUCAAUAGUGAAAGACGGUUUUGCUGUCACUUAUAGAUGGAUCCGCGCCGCAUUAGCUAGUUGGUAAGGUAACGGCUUACCAAGGCGACGAUGCGUAGCCGACCUGAGAGGGUGAUCGGCCACACUGGAGCUGAGACACGGUCCAGACUCCUACGGGAGGCAGCAGUAGGGAAUCUUCCGCAAUGGGCGAAAGCCUGACGGAGUAACGCCGCGUGAGUGAUGAAGGUCUUCGGAUCGUAAAACUCUGUUAUUAGGGAAGAACAAAUGUGUAAGUAACUAUGCACGUCUUGACGGUACCUAAUCAGAAAGCCACGGCUAACUACGUG
Molecule: ribosomal RNA, 497 nt
Filed under: uncultured bacterium
Lineage: Bacteria
Description: partial 16S ribosomal RNA
Rfam family: Bacterial small subunit ribosomal RNA
Source: RNAcentral